This 302-nucleotide unclassified non-coding RNA is filed under the name uncultured Leptosphaeriaceae. RNAcentral describes it as "sequence contains ITS1". The stretch from base 1 to 105 matches the Rfam family "5.8S ribosomal RNA", at positions 50 to 154 of the family's 154-position model. The record is from RNAcentral. Lineage: Eukaryota; Fungi; Ascomycota; Dothideomycetes; Pleosporales; Leptosphaeriaceae.
GAAAUGCGAUAAGUAGUGUGAAUUGCAGAAUUCAGUGAAUCAUCGAAUCUUUGAACGCACAUUGCGCCCCUUGGUAUUCCAUGGGGCAUGCCUGUUCGAGCGUCAUUUGUACCUUCAAGCUCUGCUUGGUGUUGGGUGUUUGUCCACGUUUGUGCGUGGACUCGCCUUGAAUGCAUUGGCAGCCGGCAAUCUGGUGUUGGAGCGCAGCACAAUUUGCGCUUUAUACCAUGAUCGUUGGCGUCCAGUAAGCCUACACUUUAACGUUUGACCUCGGAUCAGGUAGGGAUACCCGCUGAACUUAA